AAUCGCGUUCAUGUGGGGGCGCGGGAGGGUCCAAGAGACCCCAUGCCGCCGUUACGGACGCCUUGUGGGGGGAUGUCCGCAGCGGCGGUCUCGU
Molecule: small RNA, 94 nt
Filed under: Caulobacter vibrioides NA1000
Lineage: Bacteria; Pseudomonadati; Pseudomonadota; Alphaproteobacteria; Caulobacterales; Caulobacteraceae
Description: cell cycle regulated sRNA
Source: RNAcentral